RNAcentral lists this ribosomal RNA (505 nucleotides) under uncultured bacterium. RNAcentral describes it as "bacterial SSU rRNA". It matches the Rfam family "Bacterial small subunit ribosomal RNA", at positions 15 to 507 of the family's 1533-position model. The record is from RNAcentral.
GAUCAUGGCUCAGGAUGAACGCUAGCUACAGGCUUAACACAUGCAAGUCGAGGGGAAACGACAUCGAAAGCUUGCUUUUGAUGGGCGUCGACCGGCGCACGGGUGAGUAACGCGUAUCCAACCUGCCCACCACUUGGGGAUAACCUUGCGAAAGUAAGACUAAUACCCAAUGACGUCUCUAGAAGACAUCUGAAAGGGAUUAAAGAUUUAUCGGUGAUGGAUGGGGAUGCGUCUGAUUAGCUUGUUGGCGGGGUAACGGCCCACCAAGGCGACGAUCAGUAGGGGUUCUGAGAGGAAGGUCCCCCACAUUGGAACUGAGACACGGUCCAAACUCCUACGGGAGGCAGCAGUGAGGAAUAUUGGUCAAUGGGCGAGAGCCUGAACCAGCCAAGUAGCGUGCAGGAUGACGGCCCUAUGGGUUGUAAACUGCUUUUAUAAGGGAAUAAAGUUAGUCUCGUGAGACUUUUUGCAUGUACCUUAUGAAUAAGGGCCGGCUAAUUCCGUG